This 603-nucleotide ribosomal RNA is filed under the name uncultured beta proteobacterium. RNAcentral describes it as "bacterial SSU rRNA". It matches the Rfam family "Bacterial small subunit ribosomal RNA", at positions 56 to 655 of the family's 1533-position model. The record is from RNAcentral. Lineage: Bacteria; Pseudomonadati; Pseudomonadota; Betaproteobacteria.
UGCAGUCGAGCGGCAGCACGGGGGCAACCCUGGUGGCGAGCGGCGAACGGGUGAGUAAUACAUCGGAACAUGCCCAGUCGUGGGGGAUAACACUUCGAAAGAAGUGCUAAUACCGCAUACGUCCUGAGGGAGAAAGCGGGGGAUCGCAAGACCUCGCGCGAUUGGAGUGGCCGAUGUCAGAUUAGCUAGUUGGUGGGGUAAAGGCCUACCAAGGCAACGAUCUGUAGCUGGUCUGAGAGGAUGAUCAGCCACACUGGGACUGAGACACGGCCCAGACUCCUACGGGAGGCAGCAGUGGGGAAUUUUGGACAAUGGGGGCAACCCUGAUCCAGCCAUUCCGCGUGAGUGAAGAAGGCCUUCGGGUUGUAAAGCUCUUUCGGCAGGAACGAAACGGUGAGCUCUAACAUAGCUUGCUAAUGACGGUACCUGAAGAAGAAGCACCGGCUAACUACGUGCCAGCAGCCGCGGUAAUACGUAGGGUGCGAGCGUUAAUCGGAAUUACUGGGCGUAAAGCGUGCGCAGGCGGUUGUGUAAGACAGGUGUGAAAUCCCGGGGCUUAACCUGGGAACUGCGCUUGUGACUGCACAGCUAGAGUAUGGCAGA